AUGCAACUGAAGAAUAAGGUGCAUACAGGGUUUUUACAUGAGUCUAUACAACAGUGUUGGGUGUUUGGUCCAGGAACUAGAUUGGCUGUCCUAGGCCAGCCCAAGGCUAUGUCCUCAGUCAAUCUGUUCCCACCUUCCUCUGAAGAGCUCAAGACUAACAAGACCACAGUUGUGUAUAUGAUCACUGGGUUCUAUCCAGCUGAUGUGACAGUGGCCUGGAAGGCAGAUGAUAUCCCUAUCACUCAGGGUGUGGAGACUACCCAGCCUUCCAAACAGCGUGACAGCAAGUACAUGGCUAGCAGCUACCUGCUCUUGACAGCAGAAGCAUGGGAAUCUCAUAGGAUAUUCAGCUGCUAUGUCACUCAUGAAAGGAACACUGUGGAAAAGAGUUCGUCCCAUGCUGAGUGUUCCUAG
This is a non-coding RNA of Arvicanthis niloticus (Nile rat), 414 nucleotides long. NCBI's taxonomy places the organism in Eukaryota, Metazoa, Chordata, Mammalia, Rodentia, Muridae. The record is from the annotation of a RefSeq genome assembly.